ACUGGAGGUGGGUGAGGGUGUUGGUUCCAGACCAAUGAUCCCGCCGGGGAGGGAGCCGCUGCCUCCUCUUGCCUUCGCACCUCGGUGGCUGGGGUGACUCGUUCUCCCCGCGGCCUCUUGAGGAUGAGGUGCAGUCUCUUCCCAGGCUCCACGAGUUUUCGCAGGGAGGACACACAGCUGAAGACCCAGCAGGGUGGGAGAUUUCACAUGGACUUCUCCAGCUGGACUGAGGAGAAACCACACCCUGGAUGUCUGCUGAAGGAAGAAUGAAAAGGUAGUUUAUUUCCCUGGUUCCCUGUGAUGUCCCCAUUUUUCAUGAGUCAAAUUCUCCCUUUUGGGGAGCUUUCUUUCGAUUUGGGUUGAUCGGAGUCCAGGCUUUUUAGGAUGCUAAAUUCCAUACUUGGUGGGCUGGUGUUUCACCCAGGACUGAAAGUGGCAUUCUCUCCCAACAAGGAGAAAUGAGGGUACUCGAGGGCAUCUAAGAUGAUGCAUAAUUUUAUAUUUUCAAACUCAUUUACUGGUUUUGCCUCUCAGAUCUACUCAAACCUUCCCAGUGUAUUCAGCUCCCAACCACAAUGUUUCUUUCUUGGGAACAAAGUGGUCCUCAAUAUUUGCCUGUCAGAAGUAGUUCAGGUCUAACUAGCCCCAGAUUCUUCAAGGCAGCUCAUCAUGAUUUCCAAGUAGAAGAAAGCAAGAGUUAAAUCAAGUAACAUUCCCCAGCUCUGGCUGCUUUCAAGGCAGUCAAACAGUUCCUUGAUGCUGCCACCAGGUGGAGCCAUUGAACCAAGUCGGAUUCCUCAUGCCCUGAGUAGGGAUGGUGGAUACAUAGUGUAAGUUACAACUGCCAUAAGAAAACUUUGAACAGUGUUUCCAAAUAAAAGGUAUACUAAUUAACAAAGUGUUCUUAAGAAAGUACCUACUUAGAAAAUCUUUAGAUUUUUGUGUUGGGGUGAUUUGGAAACAAAAUAUAUUUUAUUGAGAACAAAUUAUUUCUUUUCAUAUCAUUUCAACAACACUUCUUAAAAGAUUAUGUGCCCUUCCCUGUGCUGGACUCUGAAGCUACAAGGACAAGUAAGAUGCAAAGGCAGUCAUAAGCCAGUAGAGAAGAAAACACACACAAAUAUAAAUAUUUUGUCUUUUUAGGGCCUCACCCGCAGCACAUGGAGGUUCCCAUGCUAUGGGUUGAAUUGGAGCUAUAGCUACUGCCACUUAAUUGACAAGACUAGUGCUGUCUAAUGGAACUUUCUGAGAUGGUGAAGAUAUUCUGCAUCUGCACCAUGUGAGACUGUGGCCACUAGCCAUAUGUGGCCAGUGAGUGCUUGAAAUGUGGGUAGUGUGAUAGAGGAACUAGAUUUUAAAUUCUGUUUAGGUCAGAUUUAAAUAGUUGCGUGUGGCUAGUGGCUACUAUACUGGGCAGCCAGAUCUGGUUAGGAGCUAUUACCUUGUGGAAGAGAGAGAUUAUGUUAGAAAAAUCAGCAGAGACUUUCGUGCCUCUGUGUGUGGGGGGGACCAGGGUACCGAGGAAUGGUAACUGGAAGAAAGGUACAGGCUAGAUAGCACAUAGGAGGGUGAGGUCCCUGGCAGGGAGGGGGCUGUGGUGUUUGGUGGCAGGGGAGUGGGGGCUGUCACUGUGAUUGGAGGUGAGACUUCUGACCCAGCAUCUGGAGCCUUGUUGGUGCCUAAUUAUGUCCAGUCCCCAUUCAAGUUUGCUCACACUUUGCCUGUGCAGAGAUACUGUGAUGACAGGUCUGUCUCUUGUGAGCCCACUGACAGCCAGCUUGUCCCCCUUGACUGUCCAGCUGCAGAGCCAUUGUUCUGUGCCCUCAUAUUUUGCUUAGCAACAAUCUGACCCACCCCCAUGUGGACAAUAUAAUAAACAACAUAUGACAUGGAUGACAAAAGCCAACCUUACUACUUAAAAUAUGAGUGCAAAUUUAAACAUUUAAAUUAAAACUUAAAAACAUUAGACUUGGAGUUCCCAUCAUGGCACAGCAGAAAUGAAUCCAACUAGGAGCCACGAGGUUGCGGGUUCGAUCCCCAGACUCCCUCAGUGGGUUAAGGAUCUGGCAUUGCCCUGAGCUGUGUUGUAGGUCACAGACAUGGCUCGGAUAUCGGAUGUGGUGUAGGCUGGCACCUGUAGCUCCGAUUAGACCCUUAACUUGGGAACCUCCAUAUGCCGUGGGUGCUGCUCU
RNAcentral lists this long non-coding RNA (2192 nucleotides) under Sus scrofa (pig). Its description in RNAcentral is "lncRNA (ENSSSCG00000062820.1)". The record is from RNAcentral. Lineage: Eukaryota; Metazoa; Chordata; Mammalia; Artiodactyla; Suidae.